UACGGAGGAUGCAAGCGUUAUCCGGAAUCAUUGGGCGUAAAGCGUCUGUAGGUGGCUUCUUAAGUCCGCUUGUCAAAGACCAGGGCUCAACCCUGGGCAGGCAGUGGAAACUAAGAAGCUUGAGUGCGGUAGGGGCAGAGGGAAUUCCCGGUGUAGCGGUGAAAUGCGUAGAUAUCGGGAAGAACACCAACGGCGAAGGCACUCUGCUGGGCCGACACUGACACUAAGAGACGAAAGCUAGGGUAGCGAAUGGGAUUAGAUACCCGGUAGUCC
RNAcentral lists this ribosomal RNA (273 nucleotides) under uncultured prokaryote. RNAcentral's name for it is "partial 16S ribosomal RNA". It matches the Rfam family "Bacterial small subunit ribosomal RNA", at positions 524 to 796 of the family's 1533-position model. The record is from RNAcentral.